Molecule: ribosomal RNA, 433 nt
Filed under: uncultured bacterium
Lineage: Bacteria
Description: partial 16S ribosomal RNA
Rfam family: Bacterial small subunit ribosomal RNA
Source: RNAcentral
AACGAACGCUGGCGGCAGGCCUAACACAUGCAAGUCGAGCGAGCAUUUCGGUGCUAGCGGCGGACGGGUGAGUAACGCGUGGGAACGUGCCCUUUUCUGCGGAAUAGUCCUGGGAAACUGGGGGUAAUACCGCAUACGCCCUUUUGGGGAAAGAUUUAUCGGAGAAGGAUCGGCCCGCGUUGGAUUAGGUAGUUGGUGGGGUAAUGGCCCACCAAGCCGACGAUCCAUAGCUGGUUUGAGAGGAUGAUCAGCCACACUGGGACUGAGACACGGCCCAGACUCCUACGGGAGGCAGCAGUGGGGAAUCUUAGACAAUGGGGGCAACCCUGAUCUCGCCAUGCCGCGUGAGUGAUGAAGGCCUUAGGGUUGUAAAGCUCUUUCAGCUGGGAAGAUAAUGACGGUACCAGCAGAAGAAGCCCCGGCUAACUCCGUG